This 279-nucleotide ribosomal RNA is filed under the name uncultured bacterium. RNAcentral describes it as "partial 16S ribosomal RNA". It matches the Rfam family "Bacterial small subunit ribosomal RNA", at positions 506 to 784 of the family's 1533-position model. The record is from RNAcentral.
UGCCAGCAGCCGCGGUAACACGUACCGGACAAACGUUAUUCGGAACUACUGGGCUUAAAGAGUACGUAGGCGGCCUUGUAGGUGAGAUGUGAAAUCCCACGGCUCAACCGUGGAAUUGCGUUUCAAACCCCAAGGCUUGAGGGAGACAGGGGUGAGCGGAACUGAUGGUGGAGCGGUGAAAUGCGUUGAUAUUGUGAGGAACACCGGUGGCGAAAGCGGCUCACUGGGUCUCUUCUGACGCUGAGGGACGAAAGCUAGGGGAGCGAACGGGAUUAGAUA